UGGGUAGAGAGAGCGUGACGUCACAAAUGCGUGUUCAACAUGGUUGGCUCGAAAAACACGUGACUUAAGGACGAUUGCUGUUGUUGACAUAUCGCAUCGGGGCGAAAAUACGUGUUAUGUGCUAAUUUUUGAAAAUGGUUCUGUAUUGCUGUGCGUUUGGAUGCAAGUCAAUACAUCAUAAAGGAAGCCAGCUAAGUUUUCACAAUUUUAAUCUUUUUCAGUUUUCCGAAGGAUGAAAACCGUAGAAGGUUGUGGGAAAUCAAAGUAAGACGACAAGAUUUCAAAGAAACUUCGGCGACAAAAAUAUGUUCCAAACAUUUCGAAGAGGAGUGCUUCGAUAUAGUGAAGUUUGGUGGUACAUGGCUAAAGAACACUGCUGUUCCCACAAUUUUCGAUUUCCCUCCGCAUUUGCUUACCACUCUAAACCCGAGGAAACCAGUCAAACAGUUGUGUUGUAGAGGAAUGUCACGACACUAAUGGAAAGAGAAGUAAACAAGGUUAUGUCCGAGAUACGACAAAGGCGACAUACUCGUCCGAAAAGUAUGUGUCAACAGAGGCAGAAGGUGGCACCAGUUAUGUUUCUCCAAGAUACCAAUACAUUGGUGACUUAAAUGAACAGGAUAUUCAGUCUCCGAGGAAGGCCAAGAAGUUUCUUGCUAUUGUGAAAAAUGGACUAAAGAACCACAGAAAUAAGUGUAAUGCACUGAGGAUGAGAAAAAAAGACUUGUGAAGAAGUUUAUAAUUAAAACCACUACGAAAUUGCAAUGCAUUAAGCACUAGCCUUUACAUUAAUCAGUAAGUUCGGUCUAAAGUCAUAAUAUAACUUUUGCAUCACAGUAAUGCAACAGUUACACAAAGCAAUAUUAUUUUAUUUAUUUGUAUUACUUUCCAUAAAUCUAUUUGUAGUACAAGUCUCACUAGAUGUAGAAUAAAUCAAUUAUAAAAUUAUGCACAAUUCAUACAAAACUAAUUCACAGAUUCACACACACAAUACAAGGCAUAAACAAAACGUACACGUGGAAAUGGUGAACUGCGCUAUCACAUCUAUUCAAGGGCGCCCAUAGGAUGAAAAGGGGGGGGGGGGUGAGCAGACCUUCAAAAAGUGUCAAAAAUUACUAAAAUUUGCCAAAAAUCUUCAAAAACACCUAAUUUUUUUUCUUUUCCUGAAAGCCAUGGUGAGGGGGGCAUGGCCCUCGCCUGACCAUAGGUAUGGGCGCCCUUGUAUUUAUUACAGUGCAUUUUAAAGGAGCAAAAUUAUUCAAUAACCUACCGCAGAACAUUAAGGAAAUAAAAAUUUUUCAACAAUUUAAAAAAAAAGUUUUUAACUUGCUACUUCAAGAAUGCUACUACUCCACAGCAGACUAUCUAAAUAGAACAACCUUAACUUCCACUUUAUACCUACUUUAUUUUUGAUUAUUUAUAAAUACAAUUUCAAUGUUUACGAGAUACAGUACACUCCCGAUUAUCCGCGAAAUUAAGUGGCGGGGCCACAGCGGAUAGUGAAAAUCGCGGAUAAUCCGCAAAAGAGCCGAAAAAGGGAAACAAAAAAGGAAAUAUUAAUUUCAACUUAAUAUAUUAAAAAUUUAUUUACAGUAAAAGUUACAAUUUACAGAAAAAAUUAUAAAAUAAUGCUAAAAUUGUAGUAUUUAACUGAAUAAUUAACAUACAAUAAAUUUCACUGAUGUAAACAUAAAAGUGCUCGGUACUUACUUCGUAACAAGGAUACAGUACAUACUGUACGUACUCAGACACUUCAUUAGACAUUAAAAAGCACAACUCUUAAAAUUUACAACUUUUUGGAAAAAAAAAUCAGUCAGUUGCUUUUGUAUCUUGCUUUGGAAACAUCUUUUCUUAAUUCUUGAUUGAAUUUCCGCAACAUAAGUUUUUCAGCCAACUGCGCAUCGUCGUCUUGUUCCUCUAAAUAGUGAAGCAGUCUGACAAUGUGUUGCAAAGCCGCUUCGUGAGUCAUCUGCGCCUUCGCACUGGGCACAUCUGUUGCGUUUUACUGUAUACUGCACACAAUACACUCGUCAGUAGAGUUCAAAUUUGCUCACUUGUAAUAAAAUACAGAUUUACAUAUGUACUGUAUUUGUUUCGUAGCAUGCGCGGAUAAUAGGGAGUUUACUGUAAUUCGUAAUUCAUAUCUUGUACAAUAUUUGUCUCUACUGUAUUACUACUUUAACUUUAUGCAUGUAGUUAUGUUAAAAUAUGUUUUAAUUGUAUUGUAAAAUAUGUAAUUGUAACUGUACUACUACUGUUUAAAUUGUAGGGCCUAACUGUAUACAAUUGUAUUAUUGUAUCAAGCCUAUACUUCUACUUGUAUUAAUGUUUCUGCAACCAUUUUGUGUUAAACUUGUGUCAACUGUCAAAUUUAAAAUUUUAUCUUUAGAAGCUGUAUAUGUACCUGUAACACCAGUUUUAUUAUUUUUUUCCCAUGUCUGGAUUUUUGGUAUUUUUAACUUUUACUGUUUGUAUGUUAAAUUAUAUUUCUUGAUGUGUCCUAUACCAUUUGUGCAAAUGUCUGUAUGUUCAGAUGGACGAAAAUAAAUAAAUAAAUUAACAAUAAAUUAUUUUUAUAUAUACACACACACACACAACACAUCAG
Bacillus rossius redtenbacheri is the source of this 2605-nucleotide long non-coding RNA. RefSeq lists it as uncharacterized. The transcript has 3 exons. NCBI's taxonomy places the organism in Eukaryota, Metazoa, Arthropoda, Insecta, Phasmatodea, Bacillidae. The record is from RefSeq and is a predicted model, not a curated record.